Molecule: unclassified non-coding RNA, 500 nt
Filed under: Hevea brasiliensis (rubber tree)
Lineage: Eukaryota; Viridiplantae; Streptophyta; Magnoliopsida; Malpighiales; Euphorbiaceae
Source: RNAcentral
AGUUUCUGUUCCCUUGGAUGCAAGGUAUGUAUUCACAUUUUCUCUUCUAUUCAAUUCCCCCUUCCAAUUCUUGAUUCUUUCAUUGCUUUCCAUCUACAAUUUAAAUCCAUUUCCAACUAAUAAUUUCUUCAAUUUGUUGAUAAAAUUAGAUGGGUUCUGCCAUUUCUUAAUUUCCCUUAUUAAUUUUAAUUUUUAAAGGCAAAUUGCGCAUUUUUCAUAUUUUUAUUUUGGUAAUUUAAUUAAAUUUAAGGGGUUAAAAAUGCAUUCCCCAUGGAAAAGAAAUUAUUCCCCUAGCUAGGCCCAACAACCCUUUUCCUCUUCAGAUAAAAGGGGAAAAAAACAAGAAAAAUGUGCAUGUGCUUUCCUUUUUUUUUUUUCUUAAAAAAACUUUUUUCAAAGUAAAUAAAUAUAUAGAAAAUCAUAUUUAAUUCUACAUGGCUAAUUAAUAAUUAAUUAAUUUCGUAUUUGUGAUGAUCAGAUUGUUGUGACAUCAAAGAACU